AUUGAACGCUGGCGGCAUGCCUUACACAUGCAAGUCGAACGGCAGCACGGGAGCAAUCCUGGUGGCGAGUGGCGAACGGGUGAGUAAUAUAUCGGAACGUGCCCAGUCGUGGGGAUAACGUAGCGAAAGCUACGCUAAUACCGCAUACGAUCUAUGGAUGAAAGCGGGGGGAUCGCAAGACCUCGCGCGAUUGGAGCGGCCGAUAUCAGAUUAGGUAGUUGGUGAGGUAAAGGCUCACCAAGCCGACGAUCUGUAGCUGGUCUGAGAGGACGACCAGCCACACUGGGACUGAGACACGGCCCAGACUCCUACGGGAGGCAGCAGUGGGGAAUUUUGGACAAUGGGCGCAAGCCUGAUCCAGCAAUGCCGCGUGCAGGAUGAAGGCCUCGGUUGGUAAC
This 398-nucleotide ribosomal RNA is filed under the name uncultured bacterium. RNAcentral describes it as "bacterial SSU rRNA". It matches the Rfam family "Bacterial small subunit ribosomal RNA", at positions 30 to 430 of the family's 1533-position model. The record is from RNAcentral.